Molecule: ribosomal RNA, 490 nt
Filed under: uncultured bacterium
Lineage: Bacteria
Description: partial 16S ribosomal RNA
Rfam family: Bacterial small subunit ribosomal RNA
Source: RNAcentral
AUUGAACGCUGGCGGCAUGCCUUACACAUGCAAGUCGAACGGCAGCAUGAUCUAGCUUGCUAGAUUGAUGGCGAGUGGCGAACGGGUGAGUCAUACAUCGGAACGUGCCCUGUAGUGGGGGAUAACUAGUCGAAAGAUUAGCUAAUACCGCAUACGUCCUGAGGGUGAAAGUGGGGGACCGCAAGGCCUCAUGCUAUAGGAGCGGCCGAUGUCUGAUUAGCUAGUUGGUGAGGUAAAGGUUCACCAAGGCGACGAUCAGUAGCUGGUCUGAGAGGACGAUCAGCCACACUGGGACUGAGACACGGCCCAGACUCCUACGGGAGGCAGCAGUGGGGAAUUUUGGACAAUGGGCGAAAGCCUGAUCCAGCAAUGCCGCGUGUGUGAAGAAGGCCUUCGGGUUGUAAAGCACUUUUGUCCGGAAAGAAAUGGCUCUAGUUAAUACCUGGGGUCGAUGACGGUACCGGAAGAAUAAGGACCGGCUAACUACGUG